UGAGCAAUCUGCCCUUCACAUCGGGAUGACCCCCGGAAACGGGAGCUAAUACCGGAUACGACCACUUCAGGCAUCUGAUGGUGGUGGAAAGUUCUGGCGGUGAAGGAUGAGCUCGCGGCCUAUCAGCUUGUUGGUGAGGUAAUAGCUCACCAAGGCGAUGACGGGUAGCUGGCCUGGAGGGGGUGACCGGCCACACGUGGGACUGAGACACGGCCCAGACCUCUACGGGA
This 230-nucleotide ribosomal RNA is filed under the name uncultured bacterium. Its description in RNAcentral is "partial 16S ribosomal RNA". It matches the Rfam family "Bacterial small subunit ribosomal RNA", at positions 118 to 346 of the family's 1533-position model. The record is from RNAcentral.